UUCUAUGUUGAAUUAUAAUUCUGUUUCUAUGUUUGAUUUCUAUCAACCUAGGCUUAUAAAUUAUGUUCUACGCUGAAUUGAUAAUUUUAUUUUGAUUGAUAAUAUCUAUAAAAUUAUUUUAAUUAUUUAUUUUUUUAAAUAUGGGAUAGGAAUGGGACGGGUAUGAGUUGGAUAUGGAAAAAUGGAUUAUCCGUGUGUAUUUCCGAAUUCGUUGGGUAUGGGGAUGGAUAUCUCUUUUCUUAUCCGAUCGAGUAUCUAAUAGGAUUUGAGUAUAGAGUAUUAAGUUUGGGUUUGGGAAUGGGUAGUACAAUAUCCGAUCCAAAUCAUACCCAUUACCAUCCCUAGCAUAUCGAGAAGGGGGUGGGGGUCGGAGAAAAUUUUUUUUAUACGGUAUAAUAAGAAUUUUAGUAAAAAAUAAAUGAAAAUUUUUUUAUGCAUCGUAGACGGUAAAAAAUGUGAUUCAUAUAUGA
This 470-nucleotide long non-coding RNA is filed under the name Elaeis guineensis (African oil palm). RNAcentral describes it as "long non-coding RNA (EGUI_LNC035417)". Lineage: Eukaryota; Viridiplantae; Streptophyta; Magnoliopsida; Arecales; Arecaceae. The record is from RNAcentral.